AGUGAACGCUGGCGGUAGGCCUAACACAUGCAAGUCGAACGGCGGCACAGUAAGAGCUUGCUCUUACGGGUGGCGAGUGGCGGACGGGUGAGGAAUACAUCGGAAUCUACUUUUUCGUGGGGGAUAACGUAGGGAAACUUACGCUAAUACCGCAUACGACCUACGGGUGAAAGCAGGGGAUCUUCGGACCUUGCGCGAUUGAAUGAGCCGAUGUCGGAUUAGCUAGUUGGCGGGGUAAAGGCCCACCAAGGCGACGAUCCGUAGCUGGUCUGAGAGGAUGAUCAGCCACACUGGAACUGAGACACGGUCCAGACUCCUACGGGAGGCAGCAGUGGGGAAUAUUGGACAAUGGGCGCAAGCCUGACCCAGCCAUACCGCGUGGGUGAAGAAGGCCUUCGGGUUGUAAAGCCCUUUUGUUGGGAAAGAAAAGCAGCAGGUUAAUACCCCGCUGUUCUGACGGUACCCAAAGAAUAAGCACCGGCUAACUUCGUG
RNAcentral lists this ribosomal RNA (492 nucleotides) under uncultured bacterium. Its description in RNAcentral is "partial 16S ribosomal RNA". It matches the Rfam family "Bacterial small subunit ribosomal RNA", at positions 29 to 507 of the family's 1533-position model. The record is from RNAcentral.